Long non-coding RNA from Vidua chalybeata, 288 nucleotides. RefSeq lists it as uncharacterized. The record is from RefSeq and is a predicted model, not a curated record. The transcript is spliced from 3 exons. NCBI's taxonomy places the organism in Eukaryota, Metazoa, Chordata, Aves, Passeriformes, Viduidae.
GAGUCACCUUGUGCUACCUGCAAUACCCAGCAGUACUCUCGGCAUAUACAUGGGACUGGCCUCUUUGACCCAGCUAAACAUACAGAGAACAUUUACAUAGUUCCAAAACAUGAUUGUUAAUGGGUUUGAUACAAGCAUGCUAUGGUAGGACUCAGAGGAUGCAUAUGACACAAGAAGAUUCUUCUGACAAGCAACCAUUUCUUGGUAUGAAAUAAUAGUGCUUCUGGGGAAGAUGAAAUGGAACAGGAACACCAGAUGAGGAAUGGCUAAUGAAAAAGGCUCAUAAAA